GCUCGUACUUGAACCUNUGGAGCCUGGCUGGCCGGUCCGCCUCACCGCGUGUACUGGUCCGGCCGGGCCUUUCCCUCUGUGGAACCUCAUGCCCUUCACUGGGUGUGACGGGGAAACAGGACUUUUACUUUGAAAAAAUUAUAGUGCUCCAGGCAGGCCUAUGCUCAAAUACAUUANCAUGGAAUAAUGAAAUAGGACGUGUGGUUCUAUUUUGUUGGUUUCUAGGACCGCCGUAAUGAUUAAUAGGGACAGUCGGGGGCAUCAGUAUUCAAUUGUCAGAGGUGAAAUUCUUGGAUUUAUUGAAGACUAACUACUGCGAAAGCAUUUGCCAAGGAUGUUUUCAUUAAUCAGGAACGAAAGUUAGGGGAUCGAAGACGAUCAGAUACCGUCGUAGUCUUAACCAUAAACUAUGCCGACUAGGGAUCGGACGAUGUUAUUUUUUGACGCGUUCGGCACCUUACGAGAAAUCAAAGUGCUUGGGCUCCANGGGGAGUAUGGUCGCAAGGCUGAAACUUAAAGAAAUUGACGGAAGGGCACCACCAGGGGUGGAGCCUGCGGCUUAAUUUGACUCAACACGGGGAAACUCACCAGGUCCAGACACAAUGAGGAUUGACAGAUUGAGAGCUCUUUCUUGAUUUUGUGGGUGGUGGUGCAUGGCCGUUCUUAGUUGGUGGAGUGAUUUGUCUGCUUAAUUGCGAUAACGAACGAGACCUUAACCUGCUAAAUAGCCCGUAUUGCUUUGGCAGUACGCUGGCUUCUUAGAGGGACUAUCGGCUCAAGCCGAUGGAAGUUUGAGGCAAUAACAGGUCUGUGAUGCCCUUUAGAUGUUCUGGGCCGCACGCGCGCUACACUGAC
RNAcentral lists this ribosomal RNA (855 nucleotides) under Ascomycota sp. CH-14B. Its description in RNAcentral is "SSU rRNA". It matches the Rfam family "Eukaryotic small subunit ribosomal RNA", at positions 626 to 1507 of the family's 1831-position model. The record is from RNAcentral. Lineage: Eukaryota; Fungi; Ascomycota.